AGAGUUUGAUCCUGGCUCAGGAUGAACGCUAGCGGGAGGCUUAACACAUGCAAGUCGAGGGGUAACGGGUUGAAACUUCGGUUUUGAUGCUGACGACCGGCGAACGGGUGAGUAACGCGUAUGCAACCUGCCUUUUACAGAGGGAUAGCUUUCGGAAACGGAAAUUAAUACCUCAUAACACUGCGAUAUGGCAUCAUAAUGCAGUUAAAACUUUGGUGGUAAAAGAUGGGCAUGCGUAACAUUAGCUAGUUGGUAAGGUAACGGCUUACCAAGGCUGUGAUGUUUAGGGGACCUGAGAGGGUGAUCCCCCACGCUGGUACUGAGACACGGACCAGACUCCUACGGGAGGCAGCAGUGAGGAAUAUUGGUCAAUGGACGGAAGUCUGAACCAGCCAUCCCGCGUGCAGGACGACGGCCCUAUGGGUUGUAAACUGCUUUUCUGAAGGAAGAAUAAUCGCUACGUGUAGUGAGACGACGGUACUUCAGGAAUAAGCAUCGGCUAACUCCGUGCCAGCAGCCGCGGUAAUACGGAGGAUGCAAGCGUUAUCCGGAUUUAUUGGGUUUAAAGGGUGCGUAGGCGGAUUAAUAAGUCAGUGGUGAAAUCUUUCGGCUCAACCGAGAAACUGCCAUUGAUACUGUUAAUCUUGAGUUCGGUCGAGGUAGGCGGAAUGUGUAAUGUAGCGGUGAAAUGCUAGAUAUUACACAGAACACCAAUUGCGUAGGCAGCUUACUAGACCGAUACUGACGCUGAGGCACGAAAGCGUGGGUAGCGAACAGGAUUAGAUACCCUGGUAGUCCACGCCGUAAACGAUGAUUACUCGUUGUUGGCGAUACACAGUCAGCGACCAAGCGAAAGCGAUAAGUAAUCCACCUGGGGAGUACGCUCGCAAGAGUGAAACUCAAAGGAAUUGACGGGGGCCCGCACAAGCGGUGGAACAUGUGGUUUAAUUCGAUGAUACGCGAGGAACCUUACCUGGGCUUAAAUGUAGAGUGCAUGAUCGGGAAACUGAUCUUUCCUUCGGGACUCUUUACAAGGUGCUGCAUGGUUGUCGUCAGCUCGUGCCGUGAGGUGUCGGGUUAAGUCCCAUAACGAGCGCAACCCCUAUCAUUAGUUGCCAUCGGGUAAAGCCGGGGACUCUAGUGAAACUGCCACCGUAAGGUGAGAGGAAGGUGGGGAUGACGUCAAAUCAGCACGGCCCUUAUGUCCAGGGCUACACACGUGUUACAAUGGUCGGUACAGAGGGCAGCUACCUGGUGACAGGAUGCGAAUCUCUAAAGCCGGUCCAAGUUCGGAUCGAAGUCUGCAACUCGACUUCGUGAAGCUGGAAUCGCUAGUAAUCGCGCAUCAGCCAUGGCGCGGUGAAUACGUUCCCGGGCCUUGUACACACCGCCCGUCAAGCCAUGGAAGCUGGGGGUGCCUGAAGUUCGUAACCGCAAGGAGCGACCUAGGGUAAAACUAGUGACUGGGGCUAAGUCGUAACAAGGUA
RNAcentral lists this ribosomal RNA (1487 nucleotides) under metagenome. RNAcentral's name for it is "bacterial SSU rRNA". It matches the Rfam family "Bacterial small subunit ribosomal RNA". The record is from RNAcentral.